This 253-nucleotide ribosomal RNA is filed under the name uncultured bacterium. RNAcentral's name for it is "partial 16S ribosomal RNA". It matches the Rfam family "Bacterial small subunit ribosomal RNA", at positions 524 to 776 of the family's 1533-position model. The record is from RNAcentral.
UACGGGGGGGGCAAGCGUUGUUCGGAUUCAUUGGGCGUAAAGGGUGCGUAGGCGGCGCGGUAAGUCGGGUGUGAAAUCUCGGAGCUUAACUCCGAAACUGCAUUCGAUACUGCCGUGCUUGAGGACUGGAGAGGAGACUGGAAUUUACGGUGUAGCGGUGAAAUGCGUAGAUAUCGUAAGGAAGACCAGUGGCGAAGGCGGGUCUCUGGGCCGAUACUGACGCUGAGGAGCGAAAGCGUGGGGAGCGAACAGG